Molecule: ribosomal RNA, 483 nt
Filed under: uncultured bacterium
Lineage: Bacteria
Description: partial 16S ribosomal RNA
Rfam family: Bacterial small subunit ribosomal RNA
Source: RNAcentral
GACGAACGCUGGCGGCGUGCUUAACACAUGCAAGUCGAACGCUGAAGCUCAGCUUUUGUUGGGUGGAUGAGUGGCGAGCGGGUGAGUAACACGUGAGUAACCUGCCUCCUUCUUUGGGAUAACGCCCGGAAACGGGUGCUAAUACUGGAUAUUCACUGGUCUUCGCAUGGGGGUUGGUGGAAAGGGUUUUUCUGGUGGGGGAUGGGCUCGCGGCCUAUCAGCUUGUUGGUGGGGUGAUGGCCUACCAAGGCUUUGACGGGUAGCCGGCCUGAGAGGGUGACCGGUCACAUUGGGACUGAGAUACGGCCCAGACUACGACGGGAGGCAGCAGUGGGGAAUAUUGCACAAUGGGCGCAAGCCUGAUGCAGCGACGCCGCGUGAGGGAUGGAGGCCUUCGGGUUGUGAACCUCUUUCGCUCAUGGUCAAGCCGCAACAAUGGUUGUGGUGAGGGUAGUGUGUAAGGAAGCGCCGGCUAACUACGUG